UACGUAGGGUGCAAGCGUUAAUCGGAAUUACUGGGCGUAAAGCGUGCGCAGGCGGUUUUGUAAGACAGGUGUGAAAUCCCCGGGCUCAACCUGGGAACUGCAUUUGUGACUGCAUAGCUAGAGUACGGUAGAGGGGGAUGGAAUUCCGCGUGUAGCAGUGAAAUGCGUAGAUAUGCGGAGGAACACCGAUGGCGAAGGCAAUCCCCUGGGCCUGCACUGACGCUCAUGCACGAAAGCGUGGGGAGCAAACAGG
Molecule: ribosomal RNA, 253 nt
Filed under: uncultured bacterium
Lineage: Bacteria
Description: partial 16S ribosomal RNA
Rfam family: Bacterial small subunit ribosomal RNA
Source: RNAcentral